Unclassified non-coding RNA from Panthera tigris altaica (Amur tiger), 316 nucleotides. Its record names the gene 7SK. It matches the Rfam family "7SK RNA". Rfam says of the family: 7SK was discovered as an abundant small nuclear RNA in the mid-70s but a possible function has only recently been suggested. Two independent studies have found that 7SK RNA binds the CDK9/cyclin T complex (known as elongation factor P-TEFb). The record is from Ensembl. NCBI's taxonomy places the organism in Eukaryota, Metazoa, Chordata, Mammalia, Carnivora, Felidae.
CGAUUGAUCGAUCUAUCUGUACAUCUGUCACUAUUGAUCGCCAGGGUUGAUUUGGCUGAUCCGGCUGGCUAGGCCGGUGUCCCCUUCCUCCCUCACCACUCCAUAUGCAUUCCUCCUGAAGCUGCAGGCUCGGUUGAAAAGGACAACCUUCCUGGAUAGAGGGGGACCUUUCUUCAGUCAAGGGUAUACGAGUAGCUGCGCUCUCCUGCUGGAACCUCCAAACAAGCUCUCAAGGUCCAAGUCUGCAGUAUCUCUGAGGUAUGGUUGUAGCUGUACUUUCUUUCAUAAGCCACAGACAUCAUGUUAGGUAUAUUUU